RNAcentral lists this ribosomal RNA (775 nucleotides) under uncultured Neocallimastigales. Its description in RNAcentral is "partial large subunit ribosomal RNA". It matches the Rfam family "Eukaryotic large subunit ribosomal RNA", at positions 18 to 634 of the family's 3401-position model. Lineage: Eukaryota; Fungi; Neocallimastigomycota; Neocallimastigomycetes; Neocallimastigales. The record is from RNAcentral.
UCAGACGAUGCGUCAUGCAUAUCAAUAAGCGGAGGAAAAGAAACUAACAAGGAUUCCCUUAGUAACGGCGAGUGAAGCGGGAAGAGCUCAAAUUUGAAAUCUUCAAGGUUUUACCUUGACGAAUUGUAGUUUAAAGAAGUGUUUUCUGCUGAAGUUUUGGUAAAAGUUCUUUGGAAUAGGACAUCAUAGAGGGUGAGAAUCCCGUAUUUGACCAUUAUUUUCAGCUUUGUGAUACACUUUCAAAGAGUCGGAUUGUUUGGGAAUGCAGUCCCAAAAUGGGUGGUAAAUUUCAUCUAAGGCUAAAUAUUGGCGAGAGACCGAUAGCGAACAAGUACCGUGAGGGAAAGAUGAAAAGAACUUUGAAAAGAGAGUUAAACAGUACGUGAAAUUGUCAAAAGGGAAGCGUUUGACACCAGUGUUGUUUUCUCGAAAAUCAAUUAAAAAUGGCUCGAUUUUGUAUUGUUGAGACCUUAAAAGCUCACUGUACAUUUUUCGUGUCUUUUUUAAUGCACUUUUCGUUUAACAAGUCAACAUCAGUUCCUUUUGUUGUAAAAGGGUCAUUGGAAGGUGGCUUUCUUUUCGGAGAAAGUGUUUAUAGCCUUUGGCCUCUGCAAUCGGAGAGACUGAGGUCUGCAGCGUAGACUCUUCGGGGUUAGAUACAUUUGUGCUAAGUUAUAGCUUUUUAUAGACAACUUGUUGACUAUAAUUAGUCUUGUAGCUUACUCGCUUAUGCUAUUUUACCUACGCUUAGGAUGUUGAACUACUGAGACAUAGA